This 293-nucleotide ribosomal RNA is filed under the name uncultured microorganism. RNAcentral describes it as "partial 16S ribosomal RNA". It matches the Rfam family "Bacterial small subunit ribosomal RNA", at positions 505 to 796 of the family's 1533-position model. The record is from RNAcentral.
GUGCCAGCAGCCGCGGUAAUACGUAGGGUGCAAGCGUUAAUCGGAAUUACUGGGCGUAAAGCGUGCGCAGGCGGUUUUGUAAGACAGAGGUGAAAUCCCCGGGCUCAACCUGGGAACUGCCUUUGUGACUGCAAGGCUGGAGUGCGGCAGAGGGGGAUGGAAUUCCGCGUGUAGCAGUGAAAUGCGUAGAUAUGCGGAGGAACACCGAUGGCGAAGGCAAUCCCCUGGGCCUGCACUGACGCUCAUGCACGAAAAGCGUGGGGAGCAAACAGGAUUAGAUACCCUGGUAGUCC